UAUAUAUAUAUAUAUAGAAUUAGGCUGGAAUACUAUUAAUAGUAAAACGCUCUUUUUGCUAUCAAGUUUUUAAUCCUUGGAUGAAAAAUUGUAGGGCCGGGAUGAUAUUAGUAGGUUAGAGUUGAGUGGUCCCCCUAGAGUUGAGUGGUCCCUACUGGGUUAUAGUAUUUAAUCCAAUGGUUAGAAAUAAUGAAGAGGGUUGAUCCAAAGGCUAAAAAACUGGUAGCAACAAUGGAAUUUUGCUACUAAUAGUAGCCCAGUCCAACUCUCUCUCUCUCUAUAUAUAUAUAGAAUUAGGCUGGAAUACUAUUAGUAGUAAAAUGCACUUUUUGCUAUCAAGUUUUUAACCUUUGGAUGAAAAAUUGUAGGGUUAGGAUGAUAUUAGUCAGUUAGAGUUGAGUGGUCCCCCUAGGGUUGAGUGNUAUAUAUAUAUAUAUAUAUAUAUAUAUAUAUAUAGACCGGCUACUAUAUUAUUAUGAGUACGAUCGCCCUCGUACUCAUAAGUUGUUUUCGAUGAUAGAGCUUCCGAAUCAACAAUCCAUAUCGUUAAACGUUAUCUAGAGCAUUUGAAACAUCUAGAAAUCAAAUUUCAUAACUUUUUCAUAUCAUUUACCUUACGAUCAAAAGCUCACAAAAUUGACAAUUUUUAACGACCGGUAUGGAAUACUUGCUAGUUUAACGGUGCAAAAGAAUCCGAAUAGAUUGAAUUUUUGAUAGAAAAUUCUAUUCACUACCUAGAUAAAGAUCAAUAACUCCGAUCUUAAAUUGAAGGAUCCGAUCAUCCAUUUUUAAGACAUCGUUCGAUCUUGACUGUUCAUUUUAUGCCUGCUUGAUGGACUUUAUUAUGAUUUCAAAAAGUUACGAAAUUUUUUUUCUAGAAGUUUCAAAUACACUAAAUCAUAUUUAACAGAGUAGAUCGUCGAUUGGGAAGCUCCAUCAUCGAAAACAACUUAUGAGUAUGAAGGGCCCAAUACUCAUAAUAUUAUAGUAGCCCUACUCUAUAUAUAUAUAUAGAGUCCGGCUAUGAUGCUUGUAAAAGUACUACGCAUUUGGUGCUUGUAAAUUUUUUACCGUUAGAUCUAUCCUUUGAUUAUUUUUACCCGUUAGAUUAUACUAUUCAACCAGCCACCCACUCAACCCUAGGGGGCCCACAUCAUCCUAACCGCACAUCUGUUAAUCCAAGGGCCGAAAACUUACAAGCACCAAUGACUUGGUACUUUUAAAAGCAUAGGAGCUCAAUUCUAUAUAUAUAUAUAUAUAUAGAGUGGGCUAGUAUGCUUAUGGAAGCACGGAGCCCUCCGUGCUUCCAAGUUGUUUUCGAUGUUCGGAUUUUCGAAUCGACGAUCGGCUCCGUUAGAGUUGAUCUAGAGUAUUUGAAGUACCUAGAAAAUAAAUUUUGUGAUUUUUUGAUAUCAUUUGCCUAGUGAUCGAAGGGGCUCAAAAUCAAUAAUUUAAACGGCCGUGGUGAGCCGGUUGCAAGUUUAACGGUGUAGAAAUAUCCAAAUCACAUGAAAUUUUGAUAGAAAAUUCUUUAUACUAUAUAAAACAAGAUCAAUAACUUUGAUCUAAAAUUUUAUUGUCAUAUCAUCAUAUUUUGUAAGAUUUUUAUUUUCAGCCGUUGAUUUUGAGCCACUUCGAUCACUAGGCAAAUGAUAUCGAAAAAUCGCAAAAUUUAUUUUCUAGAUACUUCAAAUACUCUAGAUCAAGUCUAACG
RNAcentral lists this long non-coding RNA (1714 nucleotides) under Ananas comosus (pineapple). Its description in RNAcentral is "long non-coding RNA (ACOM_LNC025832)". Lineage: Eukaryota; Viridiplantae; Streptophyta; Magnoliopsida; Poales; Bromeliaceae. The record is from RNAcentral.